RNAcentral lists this ribosomal RNA (274 nucleotides) under uncultured bacterium. RNAcentral describes it as "partial 16S ribosomal RNA". It matches the Rfam family "Bacterial small subunit ribosomal RNA", at positions 523 to 796 of the family's 1533-position model. The record is from RNAcentral.
AUACGGAGGGACCAAGCGUUGUUCGGAAUCAUUGGGCGUAAAGCGCGUGUAGGCGGCUUGGUAAGUCGGGUGUGAAAGCCCGGGGCUCAACCCCGGAAUUGCAUUCGAAACUGCUUGGCUAGAGUCUCGGAGAGGAAGGCAGAAUUCCCGGUGUAGGGGUGAAAUCCGUAGAUAUCGGGAGGAAUACCAGUGGCGAAGGCGGCCUUCUGGACGAUGACUGACGCUGAGACGCGAAAGCGUGGGGAGCAAACAGGAUUAGAAACCCCAGUAGUCC